UACGUAGGGGGCAAGCGUUGUCCGGAAUCAUUGGGCGUAAAGCGCGUGUAGGCGGCCCGAUAAGUCCGCUGUGAAAGUCCAGGGCUCAACCCUGGGAUGCCGGUGGAUACUGUCGGGCUCGAGUCCGGAAGAGGCGAGUGGAAUUCCUGGUGUAGCGGUGAAAUGCGCAGAUAUCAGGAGGAACACCAAUGGCGAAGGCAGCUCGCUGGGACGUGACUGACGCUGAGACGCGAAAGCUAGGGGAGCGAACAGG
RNAcentral lists this ribosomal RNA (253 nucleotides) under uncultured bacterium. Its description in RNAcentral is "partial 16S ribosomal RNA". It matches the Rfam family "Bacterial small subunit ribosomal RNA", at positions 524 to 776 of the family's 1533-position model. The record is from RNAcentral.